UCUGAAUCAUAUAGAAACUUACACCCGAAUGCACCAUUGAUUGUUCCCUGGGUAUCUGGUGUUGUUAGCACAUGAUUGGAUUUUACCAACCCAAAUGGUGAUCAAUGUUAAAAUUAUAUUGAGCUUCAAUCUCUACCUCUGGAAGUUUUGCAAAGAUAUGAUGCUGGCUGUGCUGAUAUCUUGAUUAUGCCUUGCCUGCAUCUGGGACUGACAGAUUUUGACUUUCAUUCAUCUUUUCUUUUCCUUUGUUAGUCUGGGUUUUGGGGAAAGAAAAUAGUUGAGGAGUGUGUUUCCUCAUCUAUUUAUCAGAAUCAUUUUUGUAACAUGCAGUGUUGCAGUCUUGGCACUGUUGAUUCUAAGGUUGGGAAAUCUAGUGCCUAGGUAAAUUGGCCUAUUUACAGAUAACAUGAAGAACUCUCAUUUUGGUUUAGCCUGAGGAGAUUGAUUGGUCAUAGGAGGGAUGAGAAAAUUGAUUUGUUGUAAUGGAUUGCAAAAUCGUAAGAAAGGAAGAAUUGCCUAUUGCUAAUUUCUUUUUUUUAUGUGAAAU
This 547-nucleotide unclassified non-coding RNA is filed under the name Hevea brasiliensis (rubber tree). Lineage: Eukaryota; Viridiplantae; Streptophyta; Magnoliopsida; Malpighiales; Euphorbiaceae. The record is from RNAcentral.